GACGAACGCUGGCGGCGUGCUUAACACAUGCAAGUCGAGCGGUAAGGCCCUUUCGGGGGUACACGAGCGGCGAACGGGUGAGUAACACGUGGGUGACCUGCCCUCAGCUCUGGGAUAAGCCUGGGAAACCGGGUCUAAUACUGGAUAUGACUCCAUGACGCAUGUUGUGGGGUGGAAAGCCUUGUGCGGCUGAGGAUGGGCCCGCGGCCUAUCAGCUUGUUGGGGGGUGAUGGCCUACCAAGGCGACGACGGGUAGCCGGCCUGAGAGGGCGGACCGGCCACACUGGGACUGAGACACGGCCCAGACUCCUACGGGAGGCAGCAGUGGGGAAUCUUGCGCAAUGGGCGAAAGCCUGACGCAGCGACGCCGCGUGAGGGAUGACGGCC
RNAcentral lists this ribosomal RNA (387 nucleotides) under uncultured bacterium. Its description in RNAcentral is "bacterial SSU rRNA". It matches the Rfam family "Bacterial small subunit ribosomal RNA", at positions 28 to 416 of the family's 1533-position model. The record is from RNAcentral.